UAUGAGGAGCCAUGCAUAUCC
This 21-nucleotide non-coding RNA is filed under the name Arabidopsis thaliana (thale cress). Lineage: Eukaryota; Viridiplantae; Streptophyta; Magnoliopsida; Brassicales; Brassicaceae. The record is from RNAcentral.